This 441-nucleotide unclassified non-coding RNA is filed under the name Hevea brasiliensis (rubber tree). Lineage: Eukaryota; Viridiplantae; Streptophyta; Magnoliopsida; Malpighiales; Euphorbiaceae. The record is from RNAcentral.
AUUUAUUGUUAGCUUAACAAUUCAAUAUAAAUUUAAAAGAUAUUUAUAAUGAUCUCAAUAUGAGAGUUUAUAUUUUUGUAGAAUAUAAAAAAACAACGAUGAACCAAUCCGAUUUCUCAACAUGUGAUGGAAUAAGAAUUUUUAAUAUUUCUUUGAAUUAUAUGGGAAAAAUAAAUACACUUGUGGUUCACGUGUUUCCAUCAGCCAAGAGCACCAUUCUUAGGAUGAAAUUUACAACCCAACCGACUAAUCCAAUUAGUUUGUACAUUGGGUUGGUUGGUUUACAAAGUUUAUUCCCAAACUAAUAUGGGAGAGGAUGGUUCAAUAGGUUGGGAUAAAAAUUUCAUCCAAAUUGACAAAUGAACACUCCUAAUUAUUAGAGGUCCUAAAAUGAAUUUAAUUAGUUAAAGUAAAUUUUUGAGUUUAGUGAUUCAUGAAGCA